GACGAACGCUGGCGGCGUGCUUAACACAUGCAAGUCGAACGGAAAGGCCCUGCUUUUGUGGGGUGCUCAAGUGGCGAACGGGUGAGUAACACGUGAGUAACCUGCCCUUGACUUUGGGAUAACUUCAGGAAACUGGGGCUAAUACCGGAUAGGAGCUCCUGCUGCAUGGUGGGGGUUGGAAAGUUUCGGCGGUUGGGGAUGGACUCGCGGCUUAUCAGCUUGUUGGUGGGGUAGUGGCUUACCAAGGCUUUGACGGGUAGCCGGCCUGAGAGGGUGACCGGCCACAUUGGGACUGAGAUACGGCCCAGACUCCUACGGGAGGCAGCAGUGGGGAAUAUUGCACAAUGGGCGGAAGCCUGAUGCAGCAACGCCGCGUGCGGGAUGACGGCCUUCGGGUUGUAAACCGCUUUCGCCUGUGACGAAGCGUGAGUGACGGUAAUGGGUAAAGAAGCACCGACUAACUACGUG
Molecule: ribosomal RNA, 468 nt
Filed under: uncultured bacterium
Lineage: Bacteria
Description: partial 16S ribosomal RNA
Rfam family: Bacterial small subunit ribosomal RNA
Source: RNAcentral